GUCAUGGAUAGCCUUGGAUGCUUGGUUAAUGUUGGGUGGCCUGCCUGCGAUGAUCAGGCAUGGGGGGCGAUAAGGAAAGAAUGGAUUCUUGAUACGGUGGGAGAAACGAAAUCCAUGGACUCUCCGAAAUGCUUUCCUUCGAAAUACUCCCUCGUAAACAAAUGCUCUUAUAUUUGUUUAUAAAAAGAGCACUAGAUAUAUUUUUUGUGCGAAUAGAGGGAGUAGUAGAUACUUCACUUGAUCAAGAUGAGGCCGUGGUCACAGGGCUUGUCGACUUAUACAAUAGUUUCUCUUAAGAAAUAUUUUUCGAUGGAACUUUUUCUUGUAGUCAUUUUUUUAAUACAGUACAAACGCAAUGCGCUCAUAUAUAUACACGCAUACACUCAUCCCUAUGCAUGGCACACACAUGCUACCCCUAUAAGCAUCUUCAAGUGACUGAGCCGCCAUAUCAUCUUAAGAUUUUACGAAGUCAUCGUAGGUGCAUCGUAAUCGACGGGAACGUCUCUUCCACUGAAGGUGCAGCGACGGAAAAACGGAAAUAAAUCCAAGAUAAAUGCGAGCACAGGACUUGUACCCUGGUGGUCUAAGGAUACCACUGUCGUCAGGUUGGAUCGCUAUAAUGGUUGCUAAUAUAAUAUUUUCUUAUGUAUUUCACGUCAUAUAAAGAAGUCAAAACAAUAUUAUACACUGUAUUUUAUCUUACGGUCAUUUCUAGGGAUUAUUUGCUUUCAUGAUCAUAAAAUUAUGGGGUGGUUGAAAUUAAACUAAAAAAUGUGUGAAUAGAAGAAGUCAUAUGUGACAAUAGGGAAAAUGACUUAUCUUUAUCUUUUUUCUUUUGACAUGACCUAUCUUUAUCUUUUGGCUAAGAGAAGUCAUGUCUCUAUGCGUUUCUCUCCCUUUCACCCCACCAACUAUUCGAUACAAAUAUCGUACAUACCCUAAGGAAGCCGUGUACACUGUGCCGGAGUGUAGUGAAGACCAAACAGGACCCUAGUCCGUCUUUAUUUAUGAAUUUCCUUUUAGGAGUUGAUGCAAAUUUGUCCAGAAAUAAUAGAUGACUCACCGAGCAAGAGGUAGGCCCAUCCUUCGAUUCAUGCUCCACCACUGUAUGCACACAGGCAGCCCAUUUCCCCACCAUUAUUGUAGGGGCAGCGUUAGGCGCCGGUGUGCCGGCCCGGUUUUUCCGCCGGUCCAGCCUCAACCGUUUGAUCUAACUUAAAAAAGCCGUCCGAUCUGGCAUCUCCUCCCUUCCUGAGUCGUCUUCAACCUCUGCCCCACGCGCCUUCGCCCAUCUGCCCCACGCACCUCCGCCUCUCUGCCCAUGCGCCUUCACCUCUGUGCGCAGCUCCGCGAGGGCGCCGCUCGCCGGCCGCCGACCACUCGCCGCUCGCACCCGACGCCCCACGACCCCUCUACGGCUCGCACCCGGCGCCUCACAACCCCCCUCGUGCAGCUCCCCCUCAACCUGAUUGCAACUCCGUCGUAGAUCGGUUGCAACUCCUGCCAUUGACGCUCCAUGGAUGUAGCACCGCCGCCGCCGCCCGUCGUCAACGCUCGCUGCCGGAAUUGCGCGGUCAACGACCACCAGUAAAAAAACGACAUUAAACGGAUGUAGCAAAAAAUAUUGCCUAUAGUCGCAAAACACAUCACCGGUUGUAACAAAAAAAAUGACAGACGGUUGCAGCAAAAUCGACCACCGGUUAUAGCUUUUGUGUUUGCCUGUUCCAGCAAAAACAGGUUCUGUUUCCAGCUCGGGGCUUCUCUGGUAAUACAAUGGUUGUAGCACAACACAGUCACCGGGGUUCGGCAACCUCAUUAUAAAGGAUGUAACAAAAUGAUAGUGCGGUAGUAGCAAAAAACCAAAACCGUUGUAGCAAAAAGUGGUACAGAAUGAUUCCAGCAAAAGAACAUGGCAGCAAAAAUACGAAGACGUUGGUAUCAAAUUAGUACACUGGUUCCAGCAAAAACAAAAAUGGGAGCAAAAUCUGGGGUUGGUUCCAACAAAACCCGAAGACACUAGUAGCAGAAUUUAGAGCUGGUUCCAGCAAAAAAAUGGCAUGGUUCCAGCAAAAAAUACUGCUGUCAAAAAAGGAAUUGCUGUGACCGGCAAAAUCAAAAGCUGGAACCAGCGAUGCAGGAAGCUACAGCCGGUGAUUAGAAAGAUGCAAGCGACUGAUUAAAAAGUUGCAACCGGUGAUUCUGAAAACUGGUACUGGUGAUUCAAAAAGCUACAACUAGCUGAACAAAAUGCUACAACCAGUUAUUUCAAAAGCUGGAACCAGCGAUUUCCGAAAAACAGAUGCAAGAAAUAGAUUUUGAAGAAAAGCUUGAAAGGGAUGAUUUAGAAAAGAUGCAACCGGUUUAGCAGGAAGCUACUACCGGUGAUCCAAAAAGCUACAACCGAUGAGCAUAAAAAAGGGCAGAUCUUCCACCGGCCAUGGCUGCUGGAGAGGGGAAGGGGUCGCCGGAGUUGCAGCCGCCGGCCAUGCCCAGCAGUGAGCUCGUAUUUUUUGUGGUGGCUAUGGAGGUGCUCGCCGCAGCAGGCUGGGAGCUGUUCCGUGGCGGCGAUUCACAAGCGGUGGAGCAAGCAAGGCCAUGGCUACUGCAGGGGAAGAGAGCAAAGAGAGGACGAGGAGAGAUUGAGGGGAUAAACUGUAGCUUGGGGAAGAGAUAAGAUUUAAGUGGUUCAGCGGUGCGUUGGCCCACUUAAAAAAGGUGUGCAUGUGCGGGGAGUGGUGGGACUGUUCCGCGUGAGACCGGC
This 2761-nucleotide ribosomal RNA is filed under the name Triticum aestivum (bread wheat). RNAcentral describes it as "partial small subunit ribosomal RNA". Lineage: Eukaryota; Viridiplantae; Streptophyta; Magnoliopsida; Poales; Poaceae. The record is from RNAcentral.